This 106-nucleotide microRNA precursor is filed under the name Bos taurus (domestic cattle). RNAcentral's name for it is "mir-544 microRNA precursor family". It matches the Rfam family "mir-544 microRNA precursor family". Lineage: Eukaryota; Metazoa; Chordata; Mammalia; Artiodactyla; Bovidae. The record is from Rfam by way of RNAcentral. RNAcentral also lists the same sequence under 5 other names.
ACCAUCUAGGGACCUUGUUAAAAUGCAGGCUCUGAUUCAGGUCUCAGUUAGAGCCUGGUUAGAGACUAAGAGUCUAUAUUUUUAACAAGCUUCCAGGUGUUGCUAA